UAAGAAAUAAAGGCUGCAGAAUUG
RNAcentral lists this non-coding RNA (24 nucleotides) under Cricetulus griseus (Chinese hamster). The record is from RNAcentral. Lineage: Eukaryota; Metazoa; Chordata; Mammalia; Rodentia; Cricetidae.